GCGUGGCAAUGAAAGGUACUGUGGCUACCUAGUGCCAGCACACUCCUUUGACAUAGGUGACAACAUUCUGCUUCUUGGACAGAGUUCAUGCUGUGUUGCCCACGUACAUCUACGAGAAGCCAUCCACUAGAGCAUGGUCAACCUACCUGGACCUCAUCCUUAAAGGAAACUGACUCUUCUUCCCCAAGAAGCCCUCAACAGUCCAGAGAUCACCAGGCAGGAGUGGUGGCCUCAUGAGCGUCCUCCCCAUGUUUAGAUGUUGACUAUCUUGGUCUUGUGCAUGUUUUGUUCGGGCAGCUGCAGUUGCUGUGAGAUCAUGUGUCAGAAGUUCUGUCAUGUCCAGAUGAUGCUGCUUCACAGCAGCUCUCUGUCUCUUAGAAUGUUUCUUCUCCCUUUCUGUGGUGCUCCCUGAGUCUUGGGGGAGGGUAUGUGGUAUAGAUGUCCCAUUUGUGGCUGAAUGCUCUGCUGCCAGCCAAGUCACCCUAGUGCUCUACAUAUCUUUACUCUGCAAUGGCGGGACCUGAAAUCAUCACUUGGAUGGACUACAAAGCCCUGCUGGAAAACUUGCAGCAGAUAGUGAGCUCCCAGAUCUCAGCUUUGGAUCUUUCAGCAAGUCUCAGACACAGCGUUGCUCACUGCAGGCACUGUCAGUCCGAACUCAGCAGCAACCCACAUCCUGCCUGUCUUCACCACCAUACCUGGCCAUGCUUUGCUUGCUUUUCUGUAUUUGUUUCAAAUUCUGUGACUGAUAAAAAGAAUUCCAUCAUA
This is a long non-coding RNA of Mus musculus (house mouse), 768 nucleotides long. RefSeq annotates it as predicted gene, 40388. The transcript has 2 exons. Lineage: Eukaryota; Metazoa; Chordata; Mammalia; Rodentia; Muridae. The record is from RefSeq and is a predicted model, not a curated record.